This 368-nucleotide long non-coding RNA is filed under the name Mytilus galloprovincialis (Mediterranean mussel). Lineage: Eukaryota; Metazoa; Mollusca; Bivalvia; Mytilida; Mytilidae. The record is from RNAcentral.
UUAAUUUUUUGAUUGGAAUAAGAAAAUAAAUAAUGCUAUCAUUUAAAACAGAAACCAAAUAACUAAAUCUUAUUCUUGAAUAUAUAUACACCUGUGUGUUAUUAAUAUAAAUAAAUGGUAUAAUUAGCUCGGUCCAUAAACAUUUAACUUUUCAACAGAAGUCUAAAUAUGAAAAAUUACCUGAAUAAAGCCAAUAAACGCUUAUUUCUUCUUUCUAUUUAAUGCAAAGACUCAACUUCUGGCAAGCUCUCACAGUGAAAGUUUCAAAAAAGAACAAAUAUAUCUCAAAAUACCCUUUGGAAUAUGUAAUAUCACUUAUUUUGCAUUUAAAAAUAAAACAAGAAUGUGUCCUCAGUACACAAAUGCCC